GAGAGGGAGGGAGGGAGAUUGGCAGAGCCAAUCUUUCUUUACAAGUAAUUGGACAAAUGACAAAAUGCUACCUAUCACUAAGAUUUCUUCUGCUUUUAUGGUUUUCCCGGCUAACUAACUUCUAAACUAACCAAUGAGCUGAGGCCAGGUGGAUUCUAGAAUGAUCCGUCCCACUUGUUCAUAACAGAAGCAUAAUUCUGUUUGGAGCCAAGAAAAACGUGUUUCCUGAAUCACGCCUUCCCUUUCUUCGGUUUGAUCAAUCGCGCCAUCCUUUUGCCGUAGACCACGCCUUCACCUUUCUUUAAGCUGAACUGGAAAGACUUCUGCACUCCAUGACACCCAUCCGACGUCGUUCUUCUCGUAUUAACGUGGCCACUGGUUCCACUCCUCCGCGGCCGUUCCAGUUUGCUUACUAGUAGGGUCGAUGGAAAUGUUGGUUCUUUACUAGAGAGAAUAGUUUAUGAUUGAAAUAUGAAGCAUUCAAUUGGGUUCGCUGCAGCAGGUUGUUAAGGGUUUUUCCUGAAGGUGUUGAUCAGCCAUGAUUUACACAGCCAUCGACACAUUUUACUUAACUGAUGAGCAACUAGAAAAUUUGCCUUCUAGGAAGGAUGGGAUCGAUAUAGCUACCGAAACUACAUUACGAAUCUAUGGUUGUGAUCUCAUCCAGGAGAGCGGGAUUUUGCUCAGAUUACCUCAGGCUGUCAUGGCAACUGGCCAAGUUUUAUUCCACCGGUUUUAUUGUAAAAAAUCAUUUGCUCGUUUCAACGUGAAGAGGGUUGCUGCGAGCUGCGUCUGGCUUGCUUCAAAGCUUGAGGAAAGCCCUAGGAAAGCGAGACAAGUCCUUGUUGUUUUUCAUCGUAUGGAAUGUAGAAGGGAGAACCUGCCAAUUGAGCAUCUGGAUACGUCUUUGAAGAAAUAUGUGGAGUUGAAGGCAGAUUUGGUUAGAACAGAAAGACAUCUUUUGAAGGAGAUGGGCUUCAUCUGCCACGUGGAGCAUCCACACAAAUUCAUAUCGAAUUACCUACGGGUGCUUGAAACACCUGAACUGAGUCAAGAAGCUUGGAAUCUGGCAAAUGAUAGCUUGCGAACUACUUUGUGUGUGAGAUUCAAAAGUGAAGUCGUGGCUUGUGGAGUUGUUUAUGCAGCAGCUCGUAGGUUUCAGGUACCCCUACCUGAGAAUCCUCCUUGGUGGAAGGCAUUUGAUGCAGACAAAUCUGGGAUAGAUGAGGUUUGCAGAGUACUUGCCCACUUGUAUAGCCUUCCCAAGGCACAGUACAUUCCUGUAUGCAAGGAUGGAGGGUCAUUUACAACAUCUAACAAAUCAUGGGAUUUAUCGCCUCAGCCACCAAGGGAAGGAUCCUUGAGUGUCCCACCUGCAAAUGAUAAUAAUACCAGCCCCAGGGGGACAUCUACUGGAGCCAAUCAAGAAUCAGGCAAGGAUGCACAAUCCAAAGCUGCUUCAGACAAAUUAAACGACUCGAAGAAAAGUGAUGGAGAAUCUAGAAGCUUGCCUACCGAUGGAGACUCAAGAGAAGAACCUCUUUCAAAAUCAAUGUCUGAGCAUAAAACAGAGGCAAGCGAGGAAAGGGACAAGAAUGAAAGGGACAGGGAUCGCAGCAAGGAGAAGGAGAGAGUGAAAUCCCGGGACCGUGAUAGGGGAAGGGAAUCUGAUCGGGAACGAGAACGGGAACGGGAAAGAGAAAGGGAAAGACAGGACAAUGAGAGAGACAGGGAUAAAAUUAAGGACAGGAGUCAUCGCUCAAGGGACAAAGGGCAUGGGGAGAAAUCGAAACAUCACUCUUCUCGAGAUCGCGAGUACCACAGUUCUUAUUCAUCGAGGGAGAAGGAUCGCCGCAGGCAUCAUUGAUAGGAUUAUGCUGCAUUGUGAUGCGAGCUGCAUUUCUGUUACUGAAUUCUGCAGUAUCAGAGAAAAUCCACGAGGAAAGUGUGAAAAUUCAAUUCCUUAAUCGACCGCAUAUCAACAUCAUAUUGCCAGGACAGUGUUUAUUCUUUUUGGCUAAACCAGGAAGUGCAGUUUAGGACUCUGCAGGUCCAAGCAAAUACCAAAAAGAAAAGGCAAAAAGUAUUUUAUCACUUUCCGUUCAUUGUUUCGAUUGGGCUCAAUUUUAUCGGAAACUUGUUUUACAAAUAUCAUUGGGAAAAACCCUACUUCAUACUUCACAUUGUUUUCAAGACAUUUAUGUUUUCGAAGAAUUGAUUAGCAGCAGUAAAAGACAUCAACUACGGUACUUUGGUCAGCAAAUCGUAUAGCAUGUCUACCAUCUAAGGUGGAAUGAAUCUGCAAAACAUUUACACUGUAUCGAGUUGUUUCGUGUUCCAGAUUCAACCAACGACUUAGCAAAAUGUUCAGCAGCAAUUAACGUA
Coffea arabica (coffee) is the source of this 2385-nucleotide non-coding RNA. The record is from RefSeq and is a predicted model, not a curated record. NCBI's taxonomy places the organism in Eukaryota, Viridiplantae, Streptophyta, Magnoliopsida, Gentianales, Rubiaceae.